Molecule: ribosomal RNA, 492 nt
Filed under: uncultured bacterium
Lineage: Bacteria
Description: partial 16S ribosomal RNA
Rfam family: Bacterial small subunit ribosomal RNA
Source: RNAcentral
AGUGAACGCUGGCGGUAGGCCUAACACAUGCAAGUCGAACGGCAGCACAGUAAGAGCUUGCUCUUACGGGUGGCGCGUGGCGGACGGGUGAGGAAUACAUCGGAAUCUACUUUUUCGUGGGGGAUAACGUAGGGAAACUUACGCUAAUACCGCAUACGACCUACGGGUGAAAGCAGGGGAUCUUCGGACCUUGUGCGAUUGAAUGAGCCGAUGUCGGAUUAGCUAGUUGGCGGGGUAAAGGCCCACCGAGGCGACGAUCCGUAUCUGGUCUGAGAGGAUGAACAGCCACACUGGAACUGAGACACGGUCCAGACUCCUACGGGAGGCAGCAGUGGGGAAUAUUGGACAAUGGGCGCAAGCCUGAUCCAGCCAUACCGCGUAGGUGAAGAAGGCCUUCGGGUUGUAAAGCCCUUUUGUUGGGAAAGAAGAGCAGCAGGUUAAUACCCCGCUGUUCUGACGGUACCCAAAGAAUAAGCACCGGCUAACUUCGUG